RNAcentral lists this long non-coding RNA (265 nucleotides) under Mizuhopecten yessoensis (Yesso scallop). RNAcentral's name for it is "uncharacterized LOC110458236, transcript variant X1". The record is from RNAcentral. Lineage: Eukaryota; Metazoa; Mollusca; Bivalvia; Pectinida; Pectinidae.
ACCAAUGUAUUGAUAGGUAGUCGUUUAUGGCUAGUGUUUGUUGGUAAAUCUUAACGAUCAAGCUGUUGAAUGAUUCAUUAUUGGUGGUUGUUUUUUUUUGCUGACUAAUCAGUGAUGAAGAGUGCCCACCCGAAGUAUCCACACCUGUUUUUUUACACCUGGCGCGACACCUGAGUACCACACUUCAUCCCGACAGAAUCCCCGGCCGAUUAUGACGAAGGGACAGUGUGCAACACCUUUUUGUAUCGAUUAAUACGUGCAGGGG